Long non-coding RNA from Silurus meridionalis, 1715 nucleotides. RefSeq lists it as uncharacterized. The transcript is spliced from 4 exons. Lineage: Eukaryota; Metazoa; Chordata; Actinopteri; Siluriformes; Siluridae. The record is from RefSeq and is a predicted model, not a curated record.
UUACAAAUGAUGAAAAUAUUUAUUUAUAGCACAUUGCAACAAUGCACAGGAUAAAAUAAAAUUCAAACAAUGUCUGUCGUGAAACUGACUGCUGAAAUAUCUGCAGUUAUAUGCUUAUGAACGUGAGUUGCAACAACAUUAAACAGCUCAGGUAAACACACCUCUGAAAAAUGUCGUCUGCUCGGCAUGGCAUAACAGGGCUCAAUGUGCUCGAUCAGCCUGCGAAACUCCAACAUCUUCUACGACAGUGUCUGAUCAUCUAAGGCAAUGAAUUCCAUAAUCUUUUUGUGUAAUGACCUUUGCCAUGACACUAUCACUGGGAAACUUCCUUGCCUUUUCAAAAACGUCCGCCACAGACGGAGUGCACAUGCUCGGAGGGGUUUUGCUUUUCUGUGCCGCGUUCCUCUCAUAUUCAGCAUAGGGAUCGGGAUGUUUGGAUUUCAGCUGAUAAAUUAAACCAGACAUGCAGACGCACCUCCUCUUGAAAUUUCGGCAUUACACGUUUUGCAAAUCGCUAUCCGUGGGUCUUUCUCAGAUAUACUGAAAUACGUCCACACAUGUUGCUGCAGGCGCAGUUUCUGUUUGCGUCAUCACAUAAGAAUCUACAUACAUAAUUUUACAACUUACUGCUCAAGUGAACUGCUGACGUAACUGUACACAGUCACUGUUAUAGUCUUCUGCUCAUGUAACUGUAUAUGCUCAGUGUUAGUCUGCUGCUCAUCGAACUGUACAUACUCAGUGUUACAAUCUACUGCACAUAUAAAUGUACAUACUCAGUGUUACAAUCUACUGCUCAUGCAAGUGUACAUAGUGUUACGGUCUACUGUUCAUGUAACUGUACAUACUUAGUGUUACAGUCUACUGCUCAAGGAACUGUACAUACUCAGUGUUAUAAUUUACGGCACAUUUAAAUGUACAUACUCAGUGUUAUAACCAACUGCACAUAAAACUCUACAAACUCAGUGUUACAGAGUACUGCUAAUACAACUGUACAUAUUUAGUGUUACAGUCUACUUCUCAUGAAACUGCACAUACUGUUUUACAAUCUACUGCUCAUGUAACUGUACAUACUCAGUGAUAUAGUCGUAUAUGUUAUUGUCACUUUAUUCAUCCCAGAGGGAUUUUCAUGAUGAGUUGUACAUAAUAAUCUGUAACUGUACAUACUACUCUAUACCCUGUACAUAGUGUUAUACUCUUAAUAAAAGCUGCCUUCAUUGUGUACUAUUUGUUCUACAGGGUGGACUAUCCUCCUCCACAUAGAGCACAAGUGACACAAUGAGUUUUGGCGUCUCUGUGACGUCACUGUAUUGUUAAAAACCCAGAACGCGGAGCAGCAGCCCACAGACUACCUUCUAUUAAGUGUCAAACUUCUCCACCACGCAACUAACCGCGAUCAAUUUCAUCUUCUAAAGUGUCAACACACCAGCGAUUCAGCAAAUUGCCUAAAAGGGAAAACUAGAAAAGACCCACAGAAAUGCAAAAGUCAAGAAGAAGAAAGCUGACGCUUCAGGACAUUUAUUGCGAUUGGUCGGAUACACUUGAUUUUUAUACUAACAACGAACACAGAGAAUUAAAUGGCAGUGUUGAAAACCAUCUUCUGGCAUUUAAAGAAACCGACACCAGACAAAAUCUGGAAAUCCGAGGCCUGGAGGGCAAAGUCAGUAGCCCCAAGAAACUCAUGUCCAUAGUUGAGGUACAAUCUACUUAUUUUACAU